RNAcentral lists this transfer RNA (75 nucleotides) under Nocardia rhizosphaerihabitans. Its description in RNAcentral is "tRNA-Thr". The record is from RNAcentral. Lineage: Bacteria; Bacillati; Actinomycetota; Actinomycetes; Mycobacteriales; Nocardiaceae.
GGGGCGGUUGGUGUAGGCGUAGUCGACGCUGAUGUUGGUGCCGUCAGGGCGGGUGAUCUUGGCGAUCUCGCCCUC